GAGAGGUGGCCGAGCGGUUUAAGGCGGCGGUCUUGAAAACCGUUGAUGUGCGAGCAUCCGUGGGUUCGAAUCCCACCUUCUCC
This 83-nucleotide transfer RNA is filed under the name bovine gut metagenome. It matches the Rfam family "tRNA". From Rfam's summary of the family: Transfer RNA (tRNA) molecules are approximately 80 nucleotides in length. Their secondary structure includes four short double-helical elements and three loops (D, anti-codon, and T loops). Further hydrogen bonds mediate the characteristic L-shaped molecular structure. tRNAs have two regions of fundamental functional importance: the anti-codon, which is responsible for specific mRNA codon recognition, and the 3' end, to which the tRNAs corresponding amino acid is attached (by aminoacyl-tRNA synthetases). tRNAs cope with the degeneracy of the genetic code in two manners: having more than one tRNA (with a specific anti-codon) for a particular amino acid; and 'wobble' base-pairing, i.e. permitting non-standard base-pairing at the 3rd anti-codon position. The record is from RNAcentral.